Molecule: ribosomal RNA, 253 nt
Filed under: uncultured bacterium
Lineage: Bacteria
Description: partial 16S ribosomal RNA
Rfam family: Bacterial small subunit ribosomal RNA
Source: RNAcentral
UACAGAGGGCUCAAGCGUUGUUCGGAUUCAUUGGGCGUAAAGGGUGCGUAGGUGGCUCCGUAAGUCAGGUGUGAAAUCUCGGGGCUCAACCCCGAAACUGCACUUGAUACUGCGGUGCUCGAGUACUGGAGAGGAGAGUGGAAUUUACGGUGUAGCAGUGAAAUGCGUAGAUAUCGUAAGGAAGACCAGUGGCGAAGGCGAAUCUCUGGACAGUUACUGACACUGAGGCACGAAGGCCAGGGGAGCAAACGGG